UGACGUUAGCUCAGAGGUAGAGCAGCGGCAUUCGAUGCCGUUGGUGGCCGGUUCGACUCCGGUACGUCAACCA
RNAcentral lists this transfer RNA (73 nucleotides) under Dyella acidiphila. Its description in RNAcentral is "tRNA-Arg". It matches the Rfam family "tRNA". Rfam says of the family: Transfer RNA (tRNA) molecules are approximately 80 nucleotides in length. Their secondary structure includes four short double-helical elements and three loops (D, anti-codon, and T loops). The record is from RNAcentral. Lineage: Bacteria; Pseudomonadati; Pseudomonadota; Gammaproteobacteria; Lysobacterales; Rhodanobacteraceae.